AGCGAACGCUGGCGGCAGGCUUAACACAUGCAAGUCGAGCGGGCAUCUUCGGAUGUCAGCGGUAGACGGGUGAGUAACACGUGGGAACGUACCCUUCGGUUCGGAACAACUCUGGGAAACUGGAGCUAAUACCGGAUACGCCCUUAUGGGGAAAGGUUUACUGCCGAAGGAUCGGCCCGCGUCUGAUUAGCUAGUUGGUGGGGUAACGGCCUACCAAGGCGACGAUCAGUAGCUGGUCUGAGAGGAUGAUCAGCCACACUGGGACUGAGACACGGCCCAGACUCCUACGGGAGGCAGCAGUGGGGAAUAUUGGACAAUGGGCGAAAGCCUGAGCCAGCCAUGCCGCGUGAGUGAUGAAGGCCUUAGGGUUGUAAAGCUCUUUUGUCCGGGACGAUAAUGACGGUACCGGAAGAAUAAGCCCCGGCUAACUUCGUG
RNAcentral lists this ribosomal RNA (435 nucleotides) under uncultured bacterium. Its description in RNAcentral is "partial 16S ribosomal RNA". It matches the Rfam family "Bacterial small subunit ribosomal RNA", at positions 29 to 507 of the family's 1533-position model. The record is from RNAcentral.